GGCCGCGGUGGUGGGAGUUGUAGUUCCGCUGCGCGCCCGGGGGACCAAGCCUCGGGGCGCCAUGGCAAAGUCGGGCUGAGACAUUUUGGGCCGCCACACCCAGACGUGAUUCUCUACCCGCCUCCAGCCUGGACGUGUUUGAGGCCCGGACUCUAGGACUGCUCCAGCCCUUGGUCCGGGAUGCCCCGGCCUGGCCCUGAAGUCCCGCCCGCUGGUUUGGGGAGAACGUGGCGUCAGAAAGAACAAGGAGAGAAAAAUUUGUCCGUGAACUUUGUGCUUUUUUAGACAGUAGUCAAUCUAUGUUUCAAGAGAACAGGCAAGCUACAUGAAGUAAGUACCAGAAAAAUGUGUGUUCUUAUAAAUCCUUAAAUUUCAUUAGUGGUAAAGUAGUCUUAAUUAUAUUUUUUAUAAUGAAAUAAUUCCUGUACAAAUGGCUCAAUAUUGACUUAAUCAAGCAUUUGGUCAGGGUCACACAUUUUUCUUCACUGGAGAGAACAUUUAAUGUUGAAAAAAUAAGAUACAAAAUAUUUUGUUUACACAUCUUUCUAUUUGAAGCCAAUGAAAUUUAAUGUAGGAUGUUGUUACUCAAGAUUUCUCUUAGUAAUACUAAUAAAUAUAAGCAACCACCUUUUACUGAUAUUUUACAUGUGCUGAGCCCUUUGCAAAGAUCUCAGUUAACUUUUGCAACUUUGCUUUGAGGUGAGUAUCAUCUCCGUAUUACAGAUAAACUGAGGUUUAGAUAAGUCGGCUAAUUUUCCUAAGGUGACACAGAAAGCAGCAAAUGGGAGAAGCCUAUCUUUUUCAGUGGGCAUCUUACCAUAGAUUUCUUUGUGCGCAUCGAUUUUUAGAAAGUAUCCUCAUUUCUUUGAGGAUAGAGAAUGGGUUUUUUCCAUCCUUUUGACCUAGUGCAGUGUCCUGUACACAGAAGAUACCCAAUAAAUAUUUGAUGUUGGUGAUACUCAUUACUGGGCAAAGUGCUACAAUGGCAUAUUAAGUAAAGUGUAGAGUUUUACGUGGACAAAACAAAGAGAUCAAUAUACUGAUUUAGGUGAUUCACGCCAAUAAUUUAUUGAAUGAUAUGGAAUAAAUUCUGGGGAAAAUAUCAUGGAUUUUCUUUCCAAACUCCCAGGUAAAUUACAGGGAUGUAAACUUGACCUUUCUGGUGCUCUUGUAACAGAUGACACGACAUUUGUUUUUUUCUGACUAACAUUUGUUUUUUUCUGACACUCUGUAGCAGUGAUUAAAGAGAGGAUUAAUUUCAUAGAAUUACUGAUUAAGAAUUCACUUGAGAAAGCAUCAGUUUUUAAAAAGUAUUUAAUUUAGCUUUGAGUUUUUCAGUGUUCAGGCAGAGGGCGCCCUUGGACCACCAAGAAGGUAAUGAUAACUAAUAGGCUUUUUGUAACAGGGUUCUGGCCCACUGAGUAAUGGCUACAUGAAUGAGGGAAAAUGCAUUGUUUUGGCCAAAAUAGAUUACAAAAUGCUUUAAUGUUGAGUUUAAUCUGUUUUUGGCUUUAAAUGUUAUUGAAUUGUUGCAUGAAUAUGAAUUGCUAAAUGGAUAUGAGUUGUUGCAUGAGUUAUAAAAUGCUUUAUAAUUUUUUCACUUCUUAAGGAACUAGGUAAAAUUAAUUGCUAUAAGGUUCAAAUCAACAAGCAUUCUAAUUUGGGAGAUUAGUUUAAUAAAUAUAAAGUAACAUCUAAAAUUUGAAGGGGGUGUAUCUGAUUAUAACUUCUAUUCAUGUCUGAUUGCAAUUGACAGUCCAUCUGUCAAUAUGAAUAUGUAUGUGUUAGGCCAUGUGCUCAGUGCUUUCUGUGCAUUAUUCUCACAACUCAAAGACAUAAGUAGGGCCGAUACCCUCUUUUUAAAAAUGAGAAAAUCAGAGCUUAGAGAGAUUAAGAAGAUUUCCACUAAUAAGUGACAAAACUGGGAUUUGAACCUGGAGGUGUGAAUACCAGAAUCCAUGCUUAUACCCAGAAUACUGUAAUGCAAAUGACAGCUUCCUUUGUUCAUGGCACAAAAUUUACAAUUAAUAGUGAAAUUGGUUUCUUUCCCUUUAAUUUCUAGUUAUCAUUGAAAGAAUACAGCAACAUCUACUCACUACGACUUAAUUGAGGAAUAAUAUUGGGAGUUAGACUUUUAUUUCCUGGUGAUGUAGUGAUUUCAACUCAGAGGCUAUAGAAUGAUUCAGUUCCUGGUCAGAGGAAUGCUCAAGUUUAAAGAGUACCAUGAUAGAAUGAAAAGAACACUGAAUUGAGAGCCAGGACUGUAACAACACAAACUAGAGAAGAUGACAUAAGGUACAAAAAAGCAAAUUGGCGCUGAACUAAUAUCUGUUGCCAGUCCUCUUCUAUUUUGUAUGCGGGAUGCCACCACAGCUUGACUUGAUGAGCAGUGUGUAGGUCUGCACCCAGGAUCCAAACCUGUGAACCCCGGGCCACUGAAGCAGAGUGUGCAAACUUAACCACUAUGCCACCAGGCCAGUCCUGAAUCUAAUAAUUCUUGAUGCUAUUAUUGAUCCCCGUGGCACCACUGGAUAAUUUUUUUUUUCUGCUGAGGAAGAUUAGCCCUGAGUUAACAUCUGUUGUCCAUCUUCCUGUUUUUUUUCGCUUGAGGAAGAUUAGCCCUGAGCUAAUGUGUGCCAGUCUGCCUCGACUUUGUAUGUGGGUUGUUGCCACAGCAUGCCUGACAAGUGGUGUAGGUCUCCGUGUAGGAUCUGAACCUGUGAACCUGGGCUGCUGAAGCAGAGAAUGCUGAACUUAACCACUAUGCCACGGGGCUGGCCCCUGGAUAACUUUCUGUUUAGAGACCUUGGCCACAAAUACUACAUAAACAUAGUGAUAUAUAAUUUAUCUAUUGUAGUACUGAGUUUUUUUCUAUCAACUUAAAGGCACAAAUUAAAGAACCAUUUUCACAAGUUAAUACAUCUUGUCACUGCUUCAUAUUUUAAACUCAUUUUUUCAACUUUGUGAGGAUGGGUUAUUUUAUAGACCAGAUUGUAAUAUUGGGUUGUUAUAAAUAGUAUUCUUUGCCACAUAUCCUUGACCUUCAGGUAAGCAGUGGAUGAGUUUAUUUGGUCAUUGCACGUCUAAUUUUGGUAAGGGUUUUGUGUUUUUAGCUCUUUGAAUGGGAUUAGGCAUCACAUAUAUGUGCAGAAAGAAACUAAACCUUUAAACAGCUCUGAAAUUUGGAAAAAUAUAGUUGUGUG
Molecule: long non-coding RNA, 3203 nt
Filed under: Equus caballus (horse)
Lineage: Eukaryota; Metazoa; Chordata; Mammalia; Perissodactyla; Equidae
Description: lncRNA (ENSECAG00000055378.1)
Source: RNAcentral